Molecule: long non-coding RNA, 3156 nt
Organism: Chiroxiphia lanceolata (lance-tailed manakin)
Lineage: Eukaryota; Metazoa; Chordata; Aves; Passeriformes; Pipridae
Exons: 3
Source: RefSeq, a predicted model, not a curated record
GUCGUCAAAGGGCUCCCCUCAGGGUCCCUCACGGUUGUCAAAGGGCUUCCAAAGGGCUCCCCUUUGCUCCCCUCAGAGUCCCAAAGGCCUCCCUCGGGACUUCCAAAGGGCUCCCCUCAGCGUUUCCACAGGGUCCCAAAGGGCUCCCCAAAGGGCUUCCCACAGGGUGCUUUGCAGCUCCCCAAAAGGUUUCCAAAGAGUUUCCAAAGGGUCUGCAAGGGCUCCCCACAGGGCUUCUGCAGGGCUCUGACAUUGCUCCCUCAGCUCUCCACAGGACCUCUUGGGGCUCCCACAGGGCUCCUUUUGGGGAGCAGAGCAGCCACCGUGGCUUCUCCUAAAGUGUGGUAGCAGGAUGAGUCUGGGGAGGAGGGGCCCUCUCUACUGCCUUCGCGUCCCACUCAAACUCACCCAGAAGUCAGUCACGGCAGGACCGUUGUAGGGUCUCCAUGGGAAUACCACCACUCUCCCCAGGCACGGUGUUGGACUGUCCAGACAGUUCUCCCCUAACUUGUCAUGUUACACCCUCUACCUCCAGAACAAGGGCCUUUCUCUGCUCUUCCUGGUGCCAUCCUCACCCCAACCUGCUACACCCCAUCCUUCACACAGAGCCUCUGGAGAGGUUUCUAGGGCUGAUAGUAAGAGAAGAACAUUACAUCAAAUGUCUGACGUGCAGCGUCUGACAGCAACUCCUCCACAUCCUGCGCAUGUACAGGAGUGUGGGACCAGUUUGACCACCCCAGUCUGACUAUCCCAGUCGAAGGACUUCAGCCCGCCAGGGCAGGACCAGGCCCUUCCACAGAAAUGUCUUACACUGAUAACCAACAUAUUUGUGUCCCACCCAGCCAACCUCCAGUGUGGUGUUCAUAGUAGCACACUUGGAACGUCGAGAAAGAUGCUGUCUUUCGAGAAGUCCUACAGGAUAUGGAACAUGUCUGAAGUGACAGAUCUAGGCUCUGCGCCUGAACAAGUUCAUCAUGUAUUGCUUAACUUCAUUCUGAAUAAAAUAUGUAAACCCUCAGCUGAAGUGGAAAAUACUCUUGCAAUUAGAAGACAAAAUAUCUGGAUGAGGAGAAGGAUGAAUAAGAAGUUCCGGGACAAGCAGUGUCUAAAGAGUCAUUCCAGUGGGCCGUCUCAUAUGAAAUGACCUUGUUUCUUAUCUCUCAUGAGGAAGAUUUUAUACAGGACUUUGCUGGGAAAACUAUUGCUCCUUUGAGUCAAUGUUGGUGCAGCAUGAGAUAUAUCUAAGGCAGAAAUUCCAUAUACAGGGUUUGGGGAUGUGUAAGACCUUUAAAAGGUUGUCCGAAGCUAACGAAUGGUGAGUCAGUGACAUAUGAAAGAGCUGAAAUAAUAAACUUUAACUGAUAUAUGUAGCAUGUGCAAUGCUUUGACUAGUAAUGUCACAAGGAGAGUAGUGAAAUGUUAAAUUGUCAAAGAGUUUUGUGGACACUGACUGGUCUCUUGUUAGGCAAACUCAAUCCUGUCAUAAACGGGAACUCCACCAGCCCCAGGAAAGAUGUGUCUUUUGUCACUGGUGCUUAUACCAUGUCCACAGAGGUGGAAAUACUCACAUCUCCAGACUGCUGAGUGGGAGAUGCCCUAAAAGCAACAACAGAGCCCUGAUCAGAACAAAUGCAAGACAUUUCACAUUCAUUCCCAUGCUCCUGGAGGGCCAUGCCACCACUCAGAUAGAAGCACUGAAAAAAUGGGUUUUACCUGAAUUUGCAGCAGUUGAAAAAUGUGUCAGAAACAAGAGGAAAAGCAUCUGUUGAUGAAAGGUCACACUGCUACUGAGUCACUCUGUUGUGUUCUCCUGUUGCAGAGAUCUCUGCAGUAUGUGUCCUUAACCUGCUGAAGGGAUGGUGAUGGCUGUGAACUCCUUGGAGCUGUGCAGCUCUGCAGAGCUGUAUCUCACAUAAGUUCCUAAACUGAGUAGACAGGGAGUUGUCCUCUUCCAUCCAGAACAAAGAUUGCCUUCCCUCUGUUGGAUCAGACACAUACACUCCUAAAUCUGACGCCAUUAACAAGACCUGACCACGGUUCCCUGUGUUGGUCUGUCUCUCUGUGCCAAGGGCAAUUACAGGACGUGUUUGUGCAUCUGAGAGUGACUCUAUGAGCUGAUCAGUUGACAAUUCAAUGAUUUUUUUGCAUCUAGACCUCAGCCUGUGCUUCCAGUUGACCAGCAGUCCCUUUGCUGUGUACAGCAGUUAACCUGGCUCAGAGCCAAAGCUUAUCCUGCUUAUUUUCCAUAUAACCCGAAGCCCAUGCACACACAAACAUAAAUACGUGUGUGAAACAAUAUACUCUGAAAGGCUACUGAGGCUGUGCACUCCAGCAUUCAACAGCCUGCAGUGUCCAGAGUUUGCCUGGUUUUCCUCAUCCAGAUGGACUGUAAUUGAGUUAUCCACACCCUUUUCCUACAGGCAUCCCCCUCACUCCACACUGGCAAUGGUUGCUGCUCCUGAGGGAGCAGCUCCCCCCAUGAUUUAUUCUCCUCUUGUUUAACGUGCAGCGAUGGGGCUUUUUACUGCCUGUUAUUCAAAUUGUGCUUUGGGCACAAAAUUAUUCAUUUCCGAGUGUUUUUUCCAUGGUGCUCAUGACAGCAGUGUCUGAGUGUUUCACAUGCACCAUUUCCUUUUCCAGCCAUUCUGAGAGGAUGCUGACCCUGUAUUAUCAGUGAGGAAAGAAGACAGGCAGCGAUGAAUUAAAGAAAGGGUCUUCAUAAUUCAGGAUUCUCCAUGUGAGUCACCUACAGCCCGAGAACUGUGAUGACAGACACACAGAGCUCAGCUCCCACUGAGCUCAGCUCCAGCAGUCAUUGUGCAACAAACUGGAUCUAAAGAUCUCCCACCUAAACACCCAGGCAAGGCAGAGCAUGCAGGCCAAGCACUGGAAGACGAGGAGAGUGGGAGCAGGAACAGAAGCAAGUGCAUGAUAACCUACUAAGAUAGUGUCUGUGCUGUGAAGUUCAAGGGCCUGUUUCCUUACAAACCACUCAGUGUGUCUGGCACCACGGAACUGAUGGGAACCACUCCCUGCAUUGAUCCAGCCAUGCAGACCUGAGGAUUAUUUGCCUACAAACAGCUAUUGUUUGCAGGAUUGGCAAAUGAAAAAAAACAAAUAUGUUUGUUUUCUCCACAGAUCAUGUUGCUUCCCACU